Molecule: ribosomal RNA, 453 nt
Filed under: uncultured bacterium
Lineage: Bacteria
Description: partial 16S ribosomal RNA
Rfam family: Bacterial small subunit ribosomal RNA
Source: RNAcentral
GACGAACGCUGGCGGUGUGCCUCACACAUGCAAGUCGAACGGGGUAGCAAUACCCAGUGGCGGACGGGUGAGUAACACGUGGGAAUCUGCCUUUAGAUGGGGGAUAGCAGGCCGAAAGGCCUAUUAAUACCGCAUAUGCCGAGAGGUGAAAGUAGCAAUACGUCUGAAGAUGAGCCCGCGCCCGAUUAGCUAGUUGGUAAGGUAAAGGCUUACCAAGGCUUUGAUCGGUAGCUGGUCUGAGAGGAUGAUCAGCCACAAUGGAACUGAGACACGGUCCAUACUCCACCGGGAGGCAGCAGUGGGGAAUUUUACAAAAUGGGCGAAAGCCUGAUGUAGCGACACCGCGUGAGCGAAGAAGCCUUUUGGGGUGUAAAGCUCUGUCAGCAGGGACGAAAAAAAUGACGGUACCUGCAGAGGAAGCAUCGGCUAACUACGUGCCAGCAGCCGCCGUAA